GACGAACGCUGGCGGCGUGCUUAACACAUGCAAGUCGAACGGAAAGGCCCUGCUUUUGUGGGGUGCUCGAGUGGCGAACGGGUGAGUAACACGUGAGUAACCUGCCCUUGACUUUGGGAUAACUUCAGGAAACUGGGGCUAAUACCGGAUAGGAGCUCCUGCUGCAUGGUGGGGGUUGGAAAGUUUCGGCGGUUGGGGAUGGACUCGCGGCUUAUCAGCUUGUUGGUGGGGUAGUGGCUUACCAAGGCUUUGACGGGUAGCCGGCCUGAGAGGGUGACCGGCCACAUUGGGACUGAGAUACGGCCCAGACUCCAACGGGAGGCAGCAGUGGGGAAUAUUGCACAAUGGGAGGAAGCCUGAUGCAGCAACGCCGCGUGCGGGAUGACGGCCUUCGGGUUGUAAUCCGCUUUCGCCUGUGACGAAGCGUGAGUGACGGUAAUGGGUAAAGAAGCACCGGCUAACUACGUG
This 468-nucleotide ribosomal RNA is filed under the name uncultured bacterium. RNAcentral's name for it is "partial 16S ribosomal RNA". It matches the Rfam family "Bacterial small subunit ribosomal RNA", at positions 28 to 507 of the family's 1533-position model. The record is from RNAcentral.